RNAcentral lists this ribosomal RNA (207 nucleotides) under uncultured bacterium. RNAcentral describes it as "partial 16S ribosomal RNA". It matches the Rfam family "Bacterial small subunit ribosomal RNA", at positions 568 to 774 of the family's 1533-position model. The record is from RNAcentral.
CGCGUAGGUGGUUUGUUAAGUUGGAUGUGAAAGCCCCGGGCUCGACCUGGGAACUGCAUCCAAAACUGGCAAGCUAGAGUACGGUAGAGGGUGGUGGAAUUUCCUGUGUAGCGGUGAAAUGCGUAGAUAUAGGAAGGAACACCAGUGGCGAAGGCGACCACCUGGACUGAUACUGACACUGAGGUGCGAAAGCGUGGGGAGCAAACA